This 534-nucleotide ribosomal RNA is filed under the name Nocardiopsis alba. Its description in RNAcentral is "bacterial SSU rRNA". It matches the Rfam family "Bacterial small subunit ribosomal RNA", at positions 104 to 638 of the family's 1533-position model. Lineage: Bacteria; Bacillati; Actinomycetota; Actinomycetes; Streptosporangiales; Nocardiopsidaceae. The record is from RNAcentral.
GGGUGAGUAACACGUGAGCAACCUGCCCCUGACUCUGGGAUAAGCGGUGGAAACGCCGUCUAAUACCGGAUACGACCUUCCGCCUCAUGGUGGAGGGUGGAAAGUUUUUUCGGUCAGGGAUGGGCUCGCGGCCUAUCAGCUUGUUGGUGGGGUAACGGCCUACCAAGGCGAUUACGGGUAGCCGGCCUGAGAGGGCGACCGGCCACACUGGGACUGAGACACGGCCCAGACUCCUGCGGGAGGCAGCAGUGGGGAAUAUUGCGCAAUGGGCGAAAGCCUGACGCAGCGACGCCGCGUGGGGGAUGACGGCCUUCGGGUUGUAAACCUCUUUUACCACCAACGCAGGCUCCGGGUUCUCUCGGGGUUGACGGUAGGUGGGGAAUAAGGACCGGCUAACUACGUGCCAGCAGCCGCGGUAAUACGUAGGGUCCGAGCGUUGUCCGGAAUUAUUGGGCGUAAAGAGCUCGUAGGCGGCGUGUCGCGUCUGCUGUGAAAGACCGGGGCUUAACUCCGGUUCUGCAGUGGAUACGGGCA